AUUUUCAAAUUUGAAUGUCUGUUUUUAUUUUUCAAUUUAUAGUGCACUGUUAUUAAAGUCUUUUUGGUGUUGUUAUCUCAGCAUGAGUUUGCUGUCAUCAAAUCACAUCAUAUUUAGAGAUGAAUUAUACUGAAAUGGAAAACUUUAAGAAGAGCAGUUUCAUAAAAUAGACAAAACAAUAUUCUUAGGUAGUCAACCAGAAAGGAUUUAUUGACAACCAAAAGUCUAACUUCAAAUUAGUUCAAAUAAAAAUUAUGAACUGCUAGCUAAGAUCAUAGAGGAACAGCCUACCAGGAAAAUGACACUCACCAAGCUCCUUCUUCUGGUCCAGUCUAAGAUUUAUAAGCUUUUAAAACAUUAAAGAGAUGGUAAAGAAGAGAAAACAAAUCCAAAUAUUACUCAGUGCUCUGUGUGAGCUGAAACAACUUUCCUUAGGAAUAAACUCAAUGUCUUUCAAGUGUAUUAAGUUAACACUAGUAUAAAAUAUGUAUCUUCUUAGUUGUUUACUGAAAUACAUUUGUGUGUUUGAAUAUGUUGAUGUGAUCUUUAAGUUGAGGUUAUGCUAAAACACUUUUUUUGUGUGUAAAAUUUAACAUUAUUUGCAUGUGUUCCUCCAACAGCUUUAUACCCUAAAUAUUUAGCAUUAUCAUAAGAUAAUAGCCAAAGAUUAUGAAUGUAGUAUUUAACUGUUUUAUUUUGUUACAGAUAGUGAAUAUUUUGAUUAGUUUUUAAUUUCGCAUGCUUCUUCUGUUUAUGUACUUUUGUAUUUCAAACAUUGAUUUGUCUUAUUGAUUGCUGUCCUGUAAGUGUUGAUGACUAUGGAAAAAUAUUUAAUUGUUCACAAAUGUAUAUCUGAAGAAACAGAGGGAGGAAGAAUGAGAUAGUAUA
Molecule: long non-coding RNA, 888 nt
Organism: Limulus polyphemus (Atlantic horseshoe crab)
Lineage: Eukaryota; Metazoa; Arthropoda; Merostomata; Xiphosura; Limulidae
Exons: 3
Source: RefSeq, a predicted model, not a curated record